UGAAGAAUGACUAUUUCUAAGGCAAUAGUUUUAAGUGCAGUGGAAACGCUGAGUCAUGGCUUGAACCAGUGAUUGAGCACCUGGUGUGAAGGCAGGACUAAGCCAGGGGAGCUCAUGUUCAAGCAGUGCACCUGAGUGAUCAGAACCUUCCCAGACCUCAUUUAAGGGUUGGCAGUGGAGCAUCUCACAUCUGAGCAUCUUCUGAAGUGUUGUGGGAUAGAGUUUAGGAGGUUUGAGAGAAAAGACAAUGAAGAACACUAGAGUCUGGGUGGUCUACAUCAUACCCAUCUACAUUUGCUGAUUUCACAUUGAAUACUUCUGUAGCAACACUAAUGCCCUCAGGACUUUGUGGUUGAUGCUAGGUAUUGUAAGGUGACACACUGGCAGCAUUGAUUUCCAGAGGAAGGCUGCCAAUGGAAAUAAGAAACCAUUGAAGAGACUGGCCUUGUAUGUGAUUGAUUCAAAUGUAAGAGAGACAUUGCAGGAAUAUUUCCACUGUGGUUAACCAG
RNAcentral lists this long non-coding RNA (509 nucleotides) under Gallus gallus (chicken). RNAcentral's name for it is "lncRNA (ENSGALG00010004807.1)". The record is from RNAcentral. Lineage: Eukaryota; Metazoa; Chordata; Aves; Galliformes; Phasianidae.